GGCUGUGUGGUCUAGUGGUAUGAUUCUCGCUUAGGGUGCGAGAGAUCCCGAGUUCAAUUCUCGGCACAGCUC
This 72-nucleotide transfer RNA is filed under the name Perkinsus olseni. RNAcentral describes it as "tRNA-Pro". It matches the Rfam family "tRNA". Rfam says of the family: Transfer RNA (tRNA) molecules are approximately 80 nucleotides in length. Their secondary structure includes four short double-helical elements and three loops (D, anti-codon, and T loops). The record is from RNAcentral. Lineage: Eukaryota; Perkinsozoa; Perkinsida; Perkinsidae.